RNAcentral lists this ribosomal RNA (996 nucleotides) under Triticum aestivum (bread wheat). Its description in RNAcentral is "partial small subunit ribosomal RNA". The record is from RNAcentral. Lineage: Eukaryota; Viridiplantae; Streptophyta; Magnoliopsida; Poales; Poaceae.
CUUAGCUGGUCACCGCCACAACAGUAGCGACUGAAAGGAGCUGAGAGGACAGGUUAGAAAAACGGGGGGAGAAGAGAUGUAUCGGAGGGAGGGUAGCGGGUCCGGCUGGAUUUCGGCAGGUAAGGCAGCAGAGGUACGAGAUCCUGUUGCUCGUGCGCCCUCGGGUGCAGAGGUGGGGGUGGCGGCCGGCGUAGAGUCUCUUAAAGCUCCUACAGCUGAGGAAGUUCCUUCUCCGACUACUCCCUGAAGUUCGCCGACUACGUCCUGGGAGGACGCCCGUAUUCGCCCCGCGGCGUCCUGUUGUUGUAUUACGACACCUUACGACACUAAAAACCGGGACUGCUAUCGGGGACCCUGCCUCCAUGCAAAUUCGACUGAGAGGUCAAAUUACUUCUUAUAGGAUUAUUCGGUGGUUGUCAAGCCAAAUAAAGAGCCUACAAAGUGGGAUUGUAAAUACGACUACCUUCGUAUACGAAUCUAUAGGAUGUCUUAGUCACCUCGGGUUAUAUACUACAUCGACGAUAUGAAUGUAGAUAGGUCAGCGACGACACACUAGGAUUGGGCUUAAGCGGACGAUUGAGUCUUCGACGGGCGUACAAGUCACUCUUGUUCGCUCUCAUGUUGGCGUUUCACGCCCUCUAACAACUCGUCUCGACCUGCCGUCUGAUUAUUCAACUCGAGUGGUACACAAUAGUACGCCAAAGACAUGGUUUUACAAACAUUGAUUUUACUGACUUGAGGCAGCAAUGGUGGACUUUGUCGUUGAACGAAACAACGUAGUAAACCGACCUGCCAACCUCUAACGAGACAGUACCGGACACGGAUAUGACAGACAUAGACCUUGUGUUUGUAAAACAUUGUAGAACACACCCAAACAUUACAACAUAGUAUAGCAUAACUAAGACUUGAGGCCGCGUAUAGAAGUGAGUGAUAUCAACUUACCACAUCUUCAAGAUUUUUUAGUACUUUUGUUACUUCACCGAUUUAUAGUACACG